RNAcentral lists this ribosomal RNA (497 nucleotides) under uncultured bacterium. Its description in RNAcentral is "partial 16S ribosomal RNA". It matches the Rfam family "Bacterial small subunit ribosomal RNA", at positions 28 to 507 of the family's 1533-position model. The record is from RNAcentral.
GAUGAACGCUGGCGGCGUGCCUAAUACAUGCAAGUCGAGCGAACAGACGAGGAGCUUGCUCCUCUGACGUUAGCGGCGGACGGGUGAGUAACACGUGGAUAACCUACAUAUAAGACUGGGAUAACUUCGGGAAACCGGAGCUAAUACCGGAUAAUAUAUUGAACCGCAUGGUUCAAUAGUGAAAGACGGUUUUGCUGUCACUUAUAGAUGGAUCCGCGCCGCAUUAGCUAGUUGGUAAGGUAACGGCUUACCAAGGCAACGAUGCGUAGCCGACCUGAGAGGGGGAUCGGCCACACUGGAACUGAGACACGGUCCAGACUCCUACGGGAGGCAGCAGUAGGGAAUCUUCCGCAAUGGGCGAAAGCCUGACGGAGCAACGCCGCGUGAGUGAUGAAGGUCUUCGGAUCGUAAAACUCUGUUAUUAGGGAAGAACAAAUGUGUAAGUAACUAUGCACGUCUUGACGGUACCUAAUCAGAAAGCCACGGCUAACUACGUG